RNAcentral lists this ribosomal RNA (307 nucleotides) under uncultured bacterium. Its description in RNAcentral is "partial 16S ribosomal RNA". It matches the Rfam family "Bacterial small subunit ribosomal RNA", at positions 506 to 807 of the family's 1533-position model. The record is from RNAcentral.
AGACAGCAGCCGCCACGGGAAUACAGAGGGUGCGAGCGUUAAUCGGAUUUACUGGGCGUAAAGCGUGCGUAGGCGGCUUCUUAAGUCGGAUGUGAAAUCCCUGAGCUUAACUUAGGAAUUGCAUUCGAUACUGGGAAGCUAGAGUAUGGGAGAGGAUGGUAGAAUUCCAGGUGUAGCGGUGAAAUGCGUAGAGAUCUGGAGGAAUACCGAUGGCGAAGGCAGCCAUCUGGCCUAAUACUGACGCUGAGGUACAAAAGCAUGGGGAGCAAACAGGAUUAGAUACCCGCGUAGUCCCUGUCUCUUAUAC